UUGUAACAAGAGCUAUUGCAAACGAUGCAAUAAAAUAUCAAAAGUUCAUCAUAUUUGCAUUAAAAAAAAAAAAAAGAAAAACUGAUCAAUGAAAUUCUGCAAACUUCCAUUUAAGUUCAACAACAGAUUUCCCAUGUCAAUUAAUACAAAAAUAUAUUAUUUAUUAAUGAGCAACGGGGGUACCUGCAGAAGAAGCAUCCACAGUUGGCCCACUUGCCUAAUUUUAUUUUCUUCUUAAGAGCUGUCACUUUUCUCCAAAGAGCAGAACUAUGCACAUGUGAUGCAUCCACGUACAAAAGAUUUUCAACCCUCUGCUAAAAUUCUCCCUCUUGGCCUUGGAUUCCUAUAAUACAACAGCCGUAGAAAU
This 367-nucleotide long non-coding RNA is filed under the name Durio zibethinus. RNAcentral's name for it is "long non-coding RNA (DZIB_LNC000903)". The record is from RNAcentral. Lineage: Eukaryota; Viridiplantae; Streptophyta; Magnoliopsida; Malvales; Malvaceae.